RNAcentral lists this unclassified non-coding RNA (268 nucleotides) under uncultured fungus. Its description in RNAcentral is "partial contains 5.8S ribosomal RNA, internal transcribed spacer 2, and large subunit ribosomal RNA". The stretch from base 1 to 52 matches the Rfam family "5.8S ribosomal RNA", at positions 103 to 154 of the family's 154-position model. Lineage: Eukaryota; Fungi. The record is from RNAcentral.
AACGCACAUUGCGCCCUUUGGUAUUCCGAAGGGCAUGCCUGUUCGAGCGUCAUUAUCACCUCUCAAACCCCGUGUUUGCUGUUGGACCCGAGUCCCGCGCGAGCGUGGACUGGUCCCAAAGAUAAUGACGGCGUCCGCGUGGACCCCCGGUGCAACGAGCUUUUCUUUUGAAGCGCGCGUCGAGAGGGAACCGCGGUACGGCCGGUCGACACCUUUUUCUUUUUACAAGGUUGACCUCGGAUCAGGUAGGAAUACCCGCUGAACUUAA